RNAcentral lists this ribosomal RNA (509 nucleotides) under uncultured eukaryote. Its description in RNAcentral is "bacterial SSU rRNA". It matches the Rfam family "Eukaryotic small subunit ribosomal RNA", at positions 9 to 561 of the family's 1831-position model. The record is from RNAcentral.
UGAUCCUGCCAGUAGUCAUAUGCUUGUCUCAAAGAUUAAGCCAUGCAUGUCUAAGUGACAAUACUAGAUCUAUUGAACUGCGAACGGCUCAUUAAAACAGUUAUGGUGGUUUGGUUUAUUCUUACAUGGAUAACCGUGGGAAACCAAGGCUAAUACGCGAGAGGCUUUUUUAAAAGCUGCUUAUUAGUUAGUGACUUUCUAUUAGAUGGUUCUGAGUAAUCAAAUGUAUCGAAGAUUCCUAGCGAUGGACCAUUCUAGUUUCUGACCUAUCAGCUUUCGACGGUUGGGUAUUGGCCCACCGUGGCUAUGACGGGUAACGGGGAAUUGGGGUUUGAUUCCGGAGAGGGAGCCUGAGAAAUGGCUACCACGUCUAAGGAUGGCAGCAGGCGCGUAAAUUACCCAAUCCUAACGCAGGGAGGUAGUGACAAGAAAUAGCAACGCGGGGCUAUGCUUCGUGAUUGCAAUGGAUGGAAUUUAAACGUUUCCAUGAAUCGAUUGGAGGGCAAGUC